Molecule: long non-coding RNA, 1947 nt
Organism: Oryzias latipes (Japanese medaka)
Lineage: Eukaryota; Metazoa; Chordata; Actinopteri; Beloniformes; Adrianichthyidae
Source: RefSeq, a predicted model, not a curated record
AAUGAUUUUAAAAGAAACUUGUUUCAUUUUUUAUUUUAUUUAUCAUAGAUUUUUGGGUCACACUCCAGCCCUUUCUCCAAAUGCUGCCGGGAACAAAACGUCUUCAGUCGUUUCGAAGCCGCAAAAUAACACGAGGAGAACGAACAACCGUGACGUGUUACCCGAGCUCCUGUAAAGUGAAAUUUGAUUGGUCACGUUCUGCAACGCGACCAAUCAGCUGUCAAGUUACAGCGCUCCGCGCCGCCAUGACGCAGUCUGUUUGAAAACAAUGGCGGCACGGAGCGUUAGGUCCGAAGAUAAAGACGGAAAAAAGAAUAAAAGUUGACCGUAGGAGACAUGGACACCCUCUAGUAAGCGAGGCUGACCGCGUCCUCACAGCGAAAAGACCUCAGAGGAUCCGGGAGUUGGCGGCAGUGACCCGGCCGAGCCGAUAAGUUCAGGAAAAGAGUCUUCAUCUGAAGCGAUUGAAACAGAAUCACAUAGGCUGGACGACGUGGAAAAAACCAAGAAGCUACAAGAACACCGGAUACGACCCCCCCUCGAAGUUUCCAUUCUUGUCCAUCACAAACACAAGAACCUCGGAGAGCAGCUCCAGUGGAAGGUCGGGGCAGAUGACAACUUCAGAAUACCGCACAAUGAGGAGAUGAUGGCAGCAGUGAAAGAUGUGGAACCAAAUUGGAGUUUCCACCAAGUUAGAAGAGCUUGCAAUCAAGCUAUUGACAGUCUCAAGUGCAAAGAGAGAGAAUGGAGAUAGAAGCAAGGAGGAGGUCAAAAGGAGGACCAGUCAGCAUGAUCAGCUCUUCAAAAAGAGGGUCAAAAUUGCUGAGAAGAUUCUCAAUGAAGAGGAUCUGUCAUAAAUAAAAAGAGCCAAUGCAAACUAUGUCAGCAACGAGGAAAGUGACGAGGACAAACCAUCUUAUUAUCAAGCCUCGCCAAAGUGGCGCUCCACUAGGCUAACCAUGGUGAUGCUGAAAUGCCAUAAAGCCUGGGAUGAAAACUGGAGGAGUGGAAUUGAGCCAAAAUUACGCACGAGACACUCAGCUGGCUUUACUGAAGGAAACCCACCACCAGUCAAGAGCUGCUAUCUGGCAGAAGAGAAAAAAAGGAUGCAUGUUUGUUUGUGGUUUUUGACUUAUUUAUUUAUUUUGUAAUAAAAUAUUUUUGAGUAAUACCGGUUUUCUGUUACCUUUCAUUUAUUAUAUAUUUUUGAGAUGACUGGUAUCUUGAAAUAUCCUGACUUACAUCACUAGUGUUUGUUCUUCAGAUAUGUCUGCUGGCCACAUGUUCCAAAUCCUAAAUUCAGAUAUGACUGGUAUACGGAUAUCAGAUAUCAACAGAUAUGACAUGGAGAGAAUCUGGAAAUAUCCUGAACUCAGAUAUCAAUGGUGUUGGUUCUUCAGAUAUGCCUGCUGGCCAUAUGUUCCAAAUCCUAACUUCAGAUAUGACUAGUAUACGGACAUCAGAUAUCAACAGAUAUGACAUGGAUAGAAUCUGGAAAUAUCCUGACCUUGGAUAUCACAAGUGACGCAUCUCAUAUCUGGAGAGAAUCUCAUCUCCAGAUUCUAUCAGAAUAAAAGUGUCCCAUACUCGGAGUUGAUAUGCUCAGGACAUGAACUUAGAGACAGUCAUGUCCGGAGAGUAUCCACCGUAGAUAUCACCAGAUAUGGGGUAUUUCUGAGGAUAUCCAGACAAAUAUAUGUCCUGAUUCUGGGGGCUUUUGCGCAGUGUUGGGUUCUUUCCCUUGGACAUUCCGUCACACACCUUUGAGGUAAUCCAAAAAAAACUGUAUUAGAGUUGUAAGGCAAAGUGGUGUCUAAGGUUUCAGGCUUAAAGAUCCGACUCUUUGAAUAAAAUGACCUUUAAAUAGUUUAACUUUUUCCUAAGAAGGGAUUCCAGCUGUUUGCUUUGGCUCUGUUAUCUUCUGUUUAAUAAAAAUAGCAAGCCCAA